UACGUAGGGUGCGAGCGUUGCCCGGAAUUAUUGGGCGUAAAGAGCUUGUAGGCGGUUUGUCGCGUCUGCUGUGAAAAUCCGGGGCUCAACCCCGGACUUGCAGUGGGUACGGGCAGACUAGAGUGUGGUAGGGGAGACUGGAAUUCCUGGUGUAGCGGUGAAAUGCGCAGAUAUCAGGAGGAACACCGAUGGCGAAGGCAGGUCUCUGGGCCACUACUGACGCUGAGAAGCGAAAGCAUGGGGAGCGAACAGGAUUAGAUA
Molecule: ribosomal RNA, 261 nt
Filed under: uncultured prokaryote
Description: partial 16S ribosomal RNA
Rfam family: Bacterial small subunit ribosomal RNA
Source: RNAcentral